UACGGGGGGGGCAAGCGUUGUUCGGAAUUACUGGGCUUAAAGGGUGCGUAGGCGGCUUUGUAAGUCAGGAGUGAAAGUUUGCGGCUCAACCGUAAAAUUGCUUCUGAUGCUGCAUGGCUAGAAUUAGGAUGAGGUCAGCGGAAUGUGGCAUGUAGCGGUGAAAUGCAUAGAUAUGCCAUAGAACACCAAUUGCGAAGGCAGCUGACUAGACCUGGAUUGACGCUGAGGCACGAAAGCGUGGGGAGCGAACAGG
RNAcentral lists this ribosomal RNA (253 nucleotides) under uncultured bacterium. RNAcentral describes it as "partial 16S ribosomal RNA". It matches the Rfam family "Bacterial small subunit ribosomal RNA", at positions 524 to 776 of the family's 1533-position model. The record is from RNAcentral.